This is a non-coding RNA of Miniopterus natalensis, 433 nucleotides long. Lineage: Eukaryota; Metazoa; Chordata; Mammalia; Chiroptera; Miniopteridae. The record is from RefSeq and is a predicted model, not a curated record.
CCAGUUUGCCUAGAAGGAGUCCUGAAGCUUUAAAUUCCAGAAUAAGGCACCAGGACCUCGCACUGGUAACACCAAGGAACCUUGGAAGGCUCGUGAGCAGGAGGUGCAUGUAAUAAAAAAGGUUUAUUGCAGUUUCUAAUUUAAGCUCCCGUGAUGGCCAAAACCAGACCAGUGCUUCAUUUUCAAGAGGAUUUCUCUGUGUGCACAGACCCCUGAAGCUUAGACCUGUGAACCACAAAAUAUAUAUACGUAAUGAAAUUUUCAGAGAAAAUAUGUAUAUAGUUUCAUUGGACUUUUUGAAUAUAUCCACCCUCCUAGGAAAUUGCUUUAAAAAAAAAACAAAAAGAGAAGAGAUAACAUUUCCUAAUCUGUUUCUCUAUAUGACGUGUCUAUGUCACAUGUAUUUGGGAAGUAAAAUAUAUGCAUUAUAGAA